Molecule: non-coding RNA, 102 nt
Filed under: Paenalicyclobacillus macrosporangiidus
Lineage: Bacteria; Bacillati; Bacillota; Bacilli; Caryophanales; Alicyclobacillaceae
Description: Alicyclobacillus macrosporangiidus Guanine sequence
Rfam family: Purine riboswitch aptamer
About the family: Riboswitches are metabolite binding domains within certain messenger RNAs that serve as precision sensors for their corresponding targets.
Source: Rfam by way of RNAcentral
UGAGGUCGAAAAUCAGAGACUCGUAUAACGCUGGGAAUAUGGCUCAGCGGUCUCUACCGGGCGACCGAGAAUCGCCCGACUACGAGGUCGGAAUCAGGCGGC